UCUUCGUGCCUUUGGUGAGUCUCAGAAUAGGAAUUUCACUUUUGGAUCUUUUGAAAGUAACGUAAUUUAAAGUCUCCAAAGUGUCCUUGUAUUAGCUAGAUCCUUUCUACAUCCUGAUGAUUUGUAUGGAUGGGUGGUGGCUGCUUUUGGAGGUCGUUUCUUCAAGAACAUUAGAAGCUUGAAUUGGGAGGCUCUUGAUAUGAACUAGAGUCUUUUACUUAGUUUUGUUCUGCAGAAAAUUUAU
Telopea speciosissima is the source of this 244-nucleotide long non-coding RNA. RefSeq lists it as uncharacterized. The transcript has 3 exons. The record is from RefSeq and is a predicted model, not a curated record. NCBI's taxonomy places the organism in Eukaryota, Viridiplantae, Streptophyta, Magnoliopsida, Proteales, Proteaceae.